UGUUUUCUUCAAAGGUUCCAGCAGAGCAGGUGAGCCGCUAGCUUCUUCGUGGAGCACGAUGUUGGAUUCGAUGUUUAGCCAGGAGAUCCAGAUCAGGGUUCUGAGACUCGUGGCGGGUUUCCUUCCAGCUUCUAGCCUCUUCAGGCCAUGUUGUAUUCUUGUCCGUACUCGGGCAUAAUUCGACUUUCGUUGAUGUAAUGAUGUAAUGUUGGGACAUGUGUCCUCUCUUUGUAAUGAUUGUUAUUCUGCUCCUUGUAUGAGCUUUGUAAUUACUCUCUUCUGUAGAGUUUUGGUAAUG
RNAcentral lists this long non-coding RNA (298 nucleotides) under Brachypodium distachyon (stiff brome). RNAcentral describes it as "long non-coding RNA (BDIS_LNC004772)". The record is from RNAcentral. Lineage: Eukaryota; Viridiplantae; Streptophyta; Magnoliopsida; Poales; Poaceae.